ACAGUCCCUGGGCUGACAUCACCGGCACAUCCCCAGCCCAGAGCCGGGAAGAGGCUGGAGGCAGAGGUGGGGCAGCCUCCCUCCCGGGAGCCCUCGUGGGCUGCCCAGCACACGGCGGACACGGUCACCAGUCCCAACUAACACGCGCCCAGACUCAGGUGUCCACACAAGGAGACAAGAGACAUGCAGGAAGAAGCCACGUCGUGACGGCGUGAGACUGGAGGGACGCGGCCACAGCCCCAGACUGCCGGCAUCCUAGACGCUGGAAGAGGCGGCAGCGGCCUCCCCGGAGCCCCCAGAGUCGGGAUGGGGGGAAGGGGGGCUUCCCAGGGCUGCUCUCGAUGGCCCCGGGCGUCCACACAAGGAAUGUCACAGGAAGUGGCCCGGCCCAGAGGGGCCCGAGGACCCAUGGCACCUGCCUGACACAUGGGGUCCCAAUGGGGUCCCGGGACGGAGGAGGACACCAGGGGACUGAGGAGUGUGAGGAAAGCGGGGCCCCAGGUUCAUGAAAUGCACCAGCCCCGGCUCAGCGCCGGGAGCAUGUCCGGCUCCAGCGUGCGGCGUGAGCAACGGGGGUCUCCGAGCUGCCUUCCCGCCGUCUCUGUGACUCCAGAACUGCUCUGAGAUAAAGGCUGUUUAAAAAGAACCAAACCUUCCCCUCCCAAUCCGCCCCCCAGCCCCAGCGUCGCCCCGCGAGCCGGCCCUCCGGGCUCCCAACACCCCUGCACAGCGUCCCUGCGCCCACUCACUGCCCGCAAACUCCUUGAGGAUGCAGCACCUUCUGUCACGGCACAGGCAGGAACGCCAAGACUGGGGACCAAGCGAAACAGAACAGACCCACAGACACGGAAGACGGGGCAGAGCCGCAGAGGAAACACACCGCCUUACAGACGAGCAUCUCUGACGAUGACGCGAGUGAACAUGGCUGCUCAGCCCGCCAGAGCCACAGGAGGGCCGGCGCACAGGGGGCAGCUCACAGGGCUCCACUGUCAGCCCCAGGGCCCGCCCAGCCUCUGCGAGGACCACCCGCACAGCCACAUGGCUGCCAGGGCUGCCACAGCCAUGCUGGGGCCACCGUGCCCCGCCCUGUGCGCAGCUGACAGCAGCUGCGCACAGGGAGAGGAAGCGCACACGGAGAGGAAGCGCACACGGCGCAGCCCCAGA
Molecule: long non-coding RNA, 1164 nt
Filed under: Equus asinus (donkey)
Lineage: Eukaryota; Metazoa; Chordata; Mammalia; Perissodactyla; Equidae
Description: lncRNA (ENSEASG00005027678.1)
Source: RNAcentral